This 3512-nucleotide long non-coding RNA is filed under the name Homo sapiens (human). Its description in RNAcentral is "HSALNT0325402". Lineage: Eukaryota; Metazoa; Chordata; Mammalia; Primates; Hominidae. The record is from RNAcentral.
ACAGUCUUUCAGGAUGUCUGAAAGGGGCAAGUCUGUUUGUGUGGGGUAAGAAAUGCGGGGAGACAAACGGACAGUGGACAGAUUGCAGAGAGCUCUGUGUGCUGAGAGGAGGGUGCAGACCAGAUUUUUAAAUUGAGAAUGCAACAGUGAAGGAUUUCAAGCUUGGAGUGAGAGGGGAGACUACGAGCCUGCAGUGAUAAGGCAAAGCUGAAGAUUUCAGAGCCAAGGCCACACCCUACAGUUGCCAUGGAAUGGGGUGGCACAGUGGGCUUUGGAGGUAAAGUCUGCAGUUGAGAAGUUCAAGGGUAGUAAGUACUUAAUGCCAGGUCAAUCAUCCCUUUUAAGACACAGAUAUCAUCUGCAGCGUUUUCAGGAACAGCGAUAGAGAAGAAAAGCGGGCAGCUACUAGAUAUUCAAAUCUUCCACAAAUGUCAGGGAGAGAGUCAGGCAGUUGGUAGAAGAGACCUGUAAAGCUGGGUACCAUAAGCCUCAACACAGGUGUUUUUAUUUCAAGGCUGGGGAGCUGUGCUUUGGAAAAGCAAUGAGGAGGUAACAGGAAGUCUCUUCUCCUUCUAAAUCCUGUGUUCAUGGAGGAGGGUGGGUUUUCUCCUCUUGAGAGGGAGUUACAUACAAGUUUAAGGGAAAAGAGUCUGAAGUUUCCACCUAAAUGAUUCUGAAAGAAUCAGGUUAAGAAGCAAAUCUGUUCCGAUGUGAUGCCAACUAAGUACAUGAUCUGAUUGUUCCAGUUAUCCUGUGCCAAAAAGAAGCAAAAAAUGGGCUUUCCACGGAUUAUUGAACACGGUGUCAGUGUGCCUGAGAAACAAGCCUCUAUUAAAAGCUUUCUAGGCAAUUUGAAUCAGGUUGCUGAGCUUUGAAAAACAUUCUACAGCCAAGUGUAGGAGACCCAAGAACUUGGAGAACAUACACGCUCUGAGCUAUUUCAAAAAAUACAGCACUUAAGCCAAUUGAGCUGUAGUCAGGGCAACACAGGCAUGAAUAACAUGAAGGUAGAUUUUAGUAGAAGAGAAGAACAGGCAAGGGAUGCAGUCAUGUGCAUUUGAAACACAGGACAAACAUAAGCCCUUUUUAUCUCAAUAAAGUAAGCGCAGUUUGGGGGCAUUCUGCGGGGUGAGAUAAUUUGUUGGAAUUUAGACGAGGCCCAGAAUCAUCCAUUGGAUAUUAAAUCCACACAUAAGCCUCUGCUAGAAUUGUGCCAGAGUAAGGGCAAUCCUGGAAUUCCUCCAGGCAGUCCUACCACAUCACCCAGAUGUCUGGUUUCUAGGUGAAUGAAUUGAAGAAAGAUCAAGAAAUAUAUGGUGGGUAAGAGGUAGGAGAGAAAGCCUGUGUAAAUUAAAUCAGAUCUCCUCAUACAUAAACCUACUCAAUUACUUCUAAAGCCUCCUUUUAUUUCUAACAUACAAUAAUUGAGUUAAAGAAAUAUAAUAUUCUUGUUUCAGGAAUAGGAAUUAUUUUCUCAGGCAAAGAAUGAAAGGUAAAAAGUACUACAGUGUGCCUACGUCAUGUGCUGCUAAUGCUAUUUUCUUCUCGAGGUGCUGAAUUGUUUGUUUUCCUGGGAAAGCUCUAGGGCAGAGCUAGCAAAAUAUCAAGAUAGCAGAUAUGCAUGUAGAGCCAUGAGGCGCCUUGCUCAGCUCUCCCUUCAAGAGAACUUGCUUCAAGGUGGGAGGCUGGGGAACACCGUCCACCUGCUCUGUCUUCAAAUGCACUGGGGCAUUCAUGCAGAGGCUAUGUUUUCCCGGGGCUGCUCCCAGCCUGUGACUGAGCAAGGCAGAAGUGCUAGCAUCAUGCCAUUCCUGCAGAAGGUGGGUUUCCUCUAAUGGGUAAACUUGGCUCCAGGGUUCGCCAUCAGCAUGGACAUAACACACGCAGAGCUUGCCAGAGGCUGAGGCCCCUCCUACCACAUCCUGCAAUUUUGUCUCUUCUGUCACAGGUGUCAGAACUGCUCUCAGUCCAAGGAUCGUCCCCCACAUAUUCCUCCUCCUCUCCCCUUUAUCCUUCCCAGGUCCCCCACCCCAAACUCUCAAAUCUACUUCCAUCUUCAAAUCUGCUUCUUGGAGAUUAUGAACAAAAGAGGAUUUGCAUUUGAUAAGAUCCCAAAGAGAGAGGAAGGGGAUAAUCCAUAUAAUUCUGACACUGGUCACCAGGCGCUUUUUUGUUUUCUUUUGACUGAACACCUGAUGGAGCUGUUAGAAUUAAGUCACAUACGAGGUGACACAGACUGGCUUCCCCUUUUGGGGCAGUGCCUGGGAGGGACAGAUGACUCAUCAUAUUGUGGACGGGGGAGUGGAAGAUCCUGGCUCCAUCUUGGAACAUAGGCUAAUUAGGGGUGAGAAGGAACAGACAGGUCCACACAAACAACCUCCCCCACCUCCAAGUUUCUCAACUGAGACUGAGGUGAGAAAUCAGCUCAGCAGAGACAGACAAAGGUUGUGUGCUCAAUUCAUGCCAGUUCACUUUGCACUUUCCAUUCAGGUUUCAGGGUUUACUUCUGGGACUCCUCAUGUCUUUCAGGGUUGUCCUGAAUGUUCAUUUGUCCAGGAUCCUUGGAGGGAAAAAAUGGGGGACUGUGCCUGGUUUCGUAUCUCUCAAAUGGAAUAUGAGAGCUUCAGACCGUUCCCUUGUUUGCAGCUGAGAAAGUGUCAGUGCUAAAAGCAAAGGGAGGUGGGGCAGAGGGACCAUGGAUAGUACCCAAAUGUGAGUCACACCUACACCAUCAGCUUUAGAACCUGUGAACUAGAAAUCUCAGAAAAUAAUCAUAAAAUUAUACUGGCUUUUCUGCCCUGUAGAAGGACUGUAGAGACAGAUUCUUGCAGAAAUCUUGCCUUGCUCCCACCCAGCCCAUGACUUUUCUCGCCACAAGGAAAGCACUGGUUAAGGAGGUGAUUCAGAGGUAGGUUCCCCAGGUGCGUCCAUCGAUGAGUGACCUCUCCUCUGCAACAGGGAAAUACUUUCAUCAUUCAGGAGGAAUACUGAGUUAGGAGGCAGAAGCUCUGGGUCCUGCUUUUAACGCUUGCACAAACUUACUGUGUAGCUUUAAGCAAGGCAUCCAGCCUCUCGCUCUCAGUGUCCUGUGCAGCCAAACUGAUUGAUCUAUGAGGCAAUGUGUGGCCCAGCUCUGCCGUUCACUAUAUUACCAUGUAUUCGCCUAAUAAAAAACUGGCACACGGAAUGUAACAAUGCGAUUGCAUAUUUGACAUUGGGGUUGUCCUUAUAAGUCUAGGUAGCCAUCUUUGCAGCACUGGUUCUUUCAAAAGAAAACUAUUUUCAUAAAUAUUUCAUUUGGAAAUCCCCAUUUAUCUGGAAGACUUAGUAAAGCAUCUUCUGUAGACACAGAAGCACAUUAUCGCCUGCUUACUUCAGAGUUAGGUUACCAGGCAUGUUCAUAAAAAAAUAACAAAGCAUAUUACUUUAGUCAAACUUUACAGAGAGGAUAGAUUGCCUACAAAGAGGUUAUUGUAAUAUAGCUCAUAAUUUUUUCAGGAGUAUGCUAAAUA